AAGGCGGGACGGGCGACCGCGGGUGACAUUGCCUUUACGGCAAUGUUGCCUGAGGAAAGUCCGGCCUCCACAGGGCAGGACGCUCGUCAAGACUGGCGACGGAAGUUCGCCAGUCAAGGCGAGGAAGUUGCUCUGGCUUAUGCUGGGGCAACUUCGGAAAGUGCCACAGAAACUAUACCGCCGUCAGGUUAAGCGGCACCGUGGCUUUUGCUGCCAGCCGCUGCGGUGUUUGCGUUUCCUGACGGUAAGGGUGAAAAGGUGGGGUAAGAGCCCACCAGCACGACCGCGAGGUCGUGGCUGGGUAAACCCCGCCCGGAGCAAGACCAAAUAGGGGGGCGCUAUCAGGU
RNAcentral lists this RNase P RNA (347 nucleotides) under Bacillota bacterium. Its description in RNAcentral is "Firmicutes bacterium (hot springs metagenome) partial RNase P RNA component class A". It matches the Rfam family "Bacterial RNase P class A", at positions 1 to 251 of the family's 367-position model. Rfam says of the family: Ribonuclease P (RNase P) is a ubiquitous endoribonuclease, found in archaea, bacteria and eukarya as well as chloroplasts and mitochondria. Its best characterised activity is the generation of mature 5'-ends of tRNAs by cleaving the 5'-leader elements of precursor-tRNAs. The record is from RNAcentral. Lineage: Bacteria; Bacillati; Bacillota.